CUCCUGAUAGCUCAGUUGGUAGAGCGAUGGACUGUAAUUGAAACCGUUUGGAGAUCCACAGGUCGCGUGUUCGACUCACGCUCGGGAGA
This 89-nucleotide transfer RNA is filed under the name Poronia punctata. Its description in RNAcentral is "tRNA-Tyr". It matches the Rfam family "tRNA". Rfam says of the family: Transfer RNA (tRNA) molecules are approximately 80 nucleotides in length. Their secondary structure includes four short double-helical elements and three loops (D, anti-codon, and T loops). Further hydrogen bonds mediate the characteristic L-shaped molecular structure. tRNAs have two regions of fundamental functional importance: the anti-codon, which is responsible for specific mRNA codon recognition, and the 3' end, to which the tRNAs corresponding amino acid is attached (by aminoacyl-tRNA synthetases). tRNAs cope with the degeneracy of the genetic code in two manners: having more than one tRNA (with a specific anti-codon) for a particular amino acid; and 'wobble' base-pairing, i.e. permitting non-standard base-pairing at the 3rd anti-codon position. Lineage: Eukaryota; Fungi; Ascomycota; Sordariomycetes; Xylariales; Xylariaceae. The record is from RNAcentral.